This 487-nucleotide long non-coding RNA is filed under the name Taeniopygia guttata (zebra finch). RNAcentral's name for it is "lncRNA (ENSTGUG00000024975.1)". The record is from RNAcentral. Lineage: Eukaryota; Metazoa; Chordata; Aves; Passeriformes; Estrildidae.
UUUUGGGGUGAUUUCGGGCCGUUUUUGGGGCUAUUUUGGGGCUAUUUUGGGGUGAUUUGGGGUUCCCUGACCCCCCUCUCCCUCCCCAGCGCCUCCUGCGGGGUCCCUGCGCCGCCACCCUCGGGGGGCUCGGCCGCCUCCUGCGGGGGGCGGGGCCAGAGGGGGCGGGGCCGGAACCGCCCUUCGAGGUGCUGGGCGAGGUGCCGUUGGAGCCCCGCCCCUCCCCCGCUCGGGGGCCGCCAUUGGCUGUCGCCGAUUGGGGGCGGGGCCUGGACCCGGAAGUGCUGCGGGAGCGAAUCUUCAGAGGGGGUGUGGUCCCCGAGCUCCGGCCCCGGGCCUGGCCCUUCCUGCUGGGGCUGCGGAAUUUGGGGGACCCCGGGGGGACCCCCGAGAGCCCCGAGGGGACCCCGGACCCCGCCCGGGCCCGCAGGUCAGAGGGGGGGUCAAAAUUGGGGUUCGGGGGUCAAAAUUGGGGGGUGGGGGGGUC